This 467-nucleotide ribosomal RNA is filed under the name uncultured bacterium. RNAcentral's name for it is "partial 16S ribosomal RNA". It matches the Rfam family "Bacterial small subunit ribosomal RNA", at positions 339 to 795 of the family's 1533-position model. The record is from RNAcentral.
CUACGGGCUGCAGCAGUGGGGAAUAUUGGACAAUGGGGGAAACCCUGAUCCGGCAAUGCCGCGUGUGUGAAGAAGGCCUGCGGGUUGUAAAGCACUUUCGGUUGGGAGGACUGCUUCUAGCACUAAUAUUGUUGGAAGUUGACGUUACCUUCAGAAGAAGCACCGGCUAACUCCGUGCCAGCAGCCGCGGUAAUACGGAGGGGUGCAAGCGUUAAUCGGAAUUACGUGGGCGUAAAGCGCGCGUAGGCGGCUAGAUCAGUCGGGUGUGAAAGCCCCGGGCUUAACCUGGGAACUGCAUACGAUACUGUCUAGGUUGAGUACAGGAGAGGGGAGUGGAAUUCCACAUGUAGCGGUGAAAUGCGUAGGUAUGUGGAGGAGCACCAAUGGCGAAGGCAGCCCUCUGGCCUGAUACUGACGCUGAGGUGCGAAAGCGUGGGGAGCAAACAGGAUUAGAUACCCCGGUAGUC